This 473-nucleotide ribosomal RNA is filed under the name uncultured bacterium. Its description in RNAcentral is "bacterial SSU rRNA". It matches the Rfam family "Bacterial small subunit ribosomal RNA", at positions 335 to 801 of the family's 1533-position model. The record is from RNAcentral.
ACUCCUACGGGAGGCAGCAGUAGGGAAUCUUCCACAAUGGGCGCAAGCCUGAUGGAGCAACACCGCGUGAGUGAAGAAGGGUUUCGGCUCGUAAAGCUCUGUUGUUAAAGAAGAACACGUAUGAGAGUAACUGUUCAUACGUUGACGGUAUUUAACCAGAAAGUCACGGCUAACUACGUGCCAGCAGCCGCGGUAAUACGUAGGUGGCAAGCGUUAUCCGGAUUUAUUGGGCGUAAAGAGAGUGCAGGCGGUUUUCUAAGUCUGAUGUGAAAGCCUUCGGCUUAACCGGAGAAGUGCAUCGGAAACUGGAUAACUUGAGUGCAGAAGAGGGUAGUGGAACUCCAUGUGUAGCGGUGGAAUGCGUAGAUAUAUGGAAGAACACCAGUGGCGAAGGCGGCUACCUGGUCUGCAACUGACGCUGAGACUCGAAAGCAUGGAUAGCGAACAGGAUUAGAUACCCUGGUAGGAUAGCG